Molecule: ribosomal RNA, 468 nt
Filed under: uncultured bacterium
Lineage: Bacteria
Description: partial 16S ribosomal RNA
Rfam family: Bacterial small subunit ribosomal RNA
Source: RNAcentral
GACGAACGCUGGCGGCGUGCUUAACACAUGCAAGUCGAACGGACAGGCCCUGCUUUUGCGGGGCGCUUGAUUGGCGAACGGGUGAGUAACACGUGAGUAACCUGCCCUUGACUUUGGGAUAACUUCUGGAAACUGGGGAUAAUACCGGAGAGGAUCUUCUGCUGCAUGGUGGGGGUUGGUAAGUUACGGUGUUUGGGGAUGGACUCGCGGGUUAUCAGCUGGAUGGUGUGGUAGUGACUUACCAAGGUUUCGACGGGUAGCCGGCCUGGGAGGGUUACCGGCCACAUUGGGACUGAGGUAGGGACCAGUAUCGUACCGGACGCAAAAGUGGGGAAUAUUGCAGAGUAGGCGGAAGCCAGAGGCGACAACGUCGGGUGCGGGAUGCCGGCUUUCGGGUUGUAAACCGCUUUCGCAUGUGCCGAAGAGUGAGUGACGGUAAUGGGUCAAGAAGCACCGGCUAACUACGUG